AAUAGAUGACGCCGUUGACUUUUUCUCACAUGUUUGACCAUUUGUCUUAUUCAAAAAAUUUACGUAAUUAUAAUUUAUUUUGUUAUGAGUUGUUAUAUCACUCAUAAUACUUUAAGUGUGAUUUAUAUCUUAUACAUUUGCAUAAAAUUUUUGAAUAAGACGAAUGGUCAAACAUGUGAGAAAAAGUUAACGGCGUCAUCUAUU
This 204-nucleotide microRNA precursor is filed under the name Oryza nivara. Its description in RNAcentral is "MIR812 microRNA precursor family". It matches the Rfam family "MIR812 microRNA precursor family". The record is from Rfam by way of RNAcentral. Lineage: Eukaryota; Viridiplantae; Streptophyta; Magnoliopsida; Poales; Poaceae.